GUCCACGCCCUCGUGGACUGCCUGGGGGAGUUCGUGCGCAAGACCCUGGCAACCUGGCUGCGGAGACGCGGCGGAUGGACUGAUGUCCUCAAGUGUGUGGUCAGCACAGACCCUGGCCUCCGCUCCCACUGGCUGGUGGCUGCACUCUGCAGCUUCGGCCGCUUCCUGAAGGCUGCCUUCUUCGUGCUGCUGCCAGAGAGAUGAGCUGCCCACCUGGCAGUGGCCGCAGCCUGGCCCUCUGGGCCCAACGCAGGAGGCCCUCAGCACCCGAACACAUCUUCCUCCUCCCCA
This 291-nucleotide non-coding RNA is filed under the name Homo sapiens (human). The record is from RNAcentral. Lineage: Eukaryota; Metazoa; Chordata; Mammalia; Primates; Hominidae.